UGGAUUUGUCCGUGUCAGCCUGUCCUCUACAAAAAUGUAACUCACUUCUAACUGUAUUCACUGAGACAGCACCUUGCAUUGUGAAAGAAACAGAGUCAACUGCAUCUGAUAGACGUCUUUCUCCACCAAAAUCCGGUUGGCAGCAGCAGUGAGGUUGCAGUGUGGAUCAUUGGUGACAGCUAUGGUGGCCAGAGAGCUGCAGAGAGCUUAGGAAGCAUCUUCAACCUGCCGGAUGACUCUUGGUCUGGUUGGCUUCUCCCCUUCUUUUCUCCUCCCUGUGAAGAAGUGCAGUCUGUGACGCAAAGUGUUGGUGGAAGGCUGGUGCUAAUCAGUGAACAGUGUUAUGGCUGUAUUUGUUUGUAGCUUAAAUGAUGCCAUGAUUAAAAACCCUCCUUAAUAGGUA
Molecule: long non-coding RNA, 403 nt
Organism: Micropterus salmoides (largemouth bass)
Lineage: Eukaryota; Metazoa; Chordata; Actinopteri; Centrarchiformes; Centrarchidae
Exons: 3
Source: RefSeq, a predicted model, not a curated record